RNAcentral lists this long non-coding RNA (821 nucleotides) under Equus caballus (horse). Its description in RNAcentral is "lncRNA (ENSECAG00000041543.2)". Lineage: Eukaryota; Metazoa; Chordata; Mammalia; Perissodactyla; Equidae. The record is from RNAcentral.
CUUAUUCAGUAAGUGAGGUGUUCACAUUUUGUACAUGACUGAGAUGUGAAGCCUUACUCUGAAAUGCCUUGCAGUCACAAUAUUCUGGAAUAGGGACCUGCUUUAAACACUUCAACUCACUGUAUUUGUUCUCAUCAACAGAGAACUUGUAGUUACCAUUUUUGGAAUUUCUGCACUCCCGAGCUAUAGUACCCAAAAGAGUUACAUUGGAUUUCCCUGAAACUAUACAAGAGGCAGUGGCAGAUGAUAUUGCAUUAUCUACUUUAAAAGAAGGUCAGUGAUGGCCUAAGGAACUUGAGCCUACGGUACUUGAAUACUCGUUCUCCAGGGAAGCUGAGACAGGUCAUCUUAUCUGGUGGCAGUCGUCUGCAGGAUCGCUGUCACUCAUUCUAGUACCUUUAACAGACGUUUGUUAAGCAACAUGUGCUUCUGUGGCCCUGCGGUAAAUGCUGCCCUUAAAAAAGGGAGAUGAGAAAGUUUUGAAACCACUAGAGGACGAUAUAACACAACACAAUCCACCGUGAAUUUGGGCAGUGGAUGCUACAAAAAGCCAGGAAAGAGAAGGGGAGCGCUGCGCCCUGGAACGACUGGGGAAGAAGGCAGGCAUCAGAUGAGUGUCUGCAUGAUUUUUGAUAAUGGCUAUGAGGAACAAAUAUUGCAGAUGGAUCAAACCAAAGAAUCACACUCAAAGCUGGAUUAAAGAGUCAUGAAAAGAAGGGAGAGGAAGAAAUGAAGAAACAAGAGAAUUAUAGAAGUAAAAUAUGCAGUUUAUUAUUGAAAAGAAAUCUGCCAUUUGAAUAAAGACCAAACAGCUUUUCAUU